This 391-nucleotide ribosomal RNA is filed under the name uncultured bacterium. RNAcentral's name for it is "bacterial SSU rRNA". It matches the Rfam family "Bacterial small subunit ribosomal RNA", at positions 29 to 412 of the family's 1533-position model. The record is from RNAcentral.
AACGAACGCUGGCGGCGCGCCUAACACAUGCAAGUCGAACGAGAAGGCGUAGCAAUACGCUUGUAGAGUGGCGAACGGGUGAGUAAUACGUGGGUGACCUACCCUCGAGUGGGGAAUAACCCGCCGAAAGGCGGGCUAAUGCCGCGUACGCUUCCGUCCUCACGGGGACGGAAGGAAAGCUGGUACCGUGGGUACGGCGCUCAAGGAUGGGCUCACGUCCUAUCAGCUUGUGGUAGGUAACGGCCUACCAAGGCUACGACGGGUAGCUGGUCUGAGAGGACGAUCAGCCACACUGGCACUGCGACACGGGCCAGACUCCUACGGGAGGCAGCAGUGAGGAAUAUUGCGCAAUGGGCGAAAGCCUGACGCAGCGACGCCGCGUGGGGAUGAA